Molecule: long non-coding RNA, 418 nt
Organism: Scophthalmus maximus (turbot)
Lineage: Eukaryota; Metazoa; Chordata; Actinopteri; Pleuronectiformes; Scophthalmidae
Exons: 3
Source: RefSeq, a predicted model, not a curated record
AUAUAGGCUAGGUACAACUUCCUAGGGAGAAGCUCAACACACAUUUUAUUUCAACAUCACUGGAUACGCACAGCAGUAGAAGUUCCACCACAAUAGAAAGAGGGAAAAGAGAGCUGCUACAAAGACAACAGUGGAGGUUGCUGGGGUUGUUGAAGCUGGCGGUGCACUGAUUGCAGGUGUACGGCUUCUCACCAGAGUGAGUCCUCAGGUGGAUCUUCAGGCUGCCGUUCUGCGUGAAACGUUUCCCACACUGUGGACAAGCGUACGGCUUCUCACCGAGCUCAUCGCUGUUGAAGCCAUUUGAGUGGAAUGAUUUCGGUCCACCUGGCUGUUUCUCACCAGUCCAACGCUGUUAUCCUGCAUCACUGUCAUCGGUACACUGUCACUAGCACCAGUGGUAAAGUUGAGGAGACCGUCG